Long non-coding RNA from Oryzias melastigma (Indian medaka), 1634 nucleotides. RefSeq lists it as uncharacterized. The record is from RefSeq and is a predicted model, not a curated record. The transcript is spliced from 3 exons. NCBI's taxonomy places the organism in Eukaryota, Metazoa, Chordata, Actinopteri, Beloniformes, Adrianichthyidae.
CGACCUGCGACCUAGGGUGUGUUUUGGAUUUUGGCCCCCUGUGCGAUUGAGUUUGACACCCCUGGCCUAAUCCAAUAGCAGAAACGGUUGCAGGUGUGUUUAUGCACAGAGCAUGAAUAACCGUGCAACACUUCGCUUCAUUAUGGAGGAUGGAAAACACGGCCUUGCGCUUUACAGAGAUUAAUACGAGCUUUUGGCACGCGACUUGUUUGUAUUAGACGGAUGAGAGCGCCGCAUUUUAUCAGACAUCUGCUCAACCUGACAACCUUCAGACAGCCUGGUUACAGCACCAGGCAAAGCCCUGAACUGUUGCUAACACUGCACAGCAACUUAGGUGUGCUCUCAUCCAAAAACAACACAUAAAACCACAUCAAUCUUCUGAAGUUUAACUGUCCCCCACAGGCUCCCAACCGGGUUGCAUGAAGGGGUUGUGGGAGUUAACAGCUAAUUGUUUUACAUGUGCUCUGACGAUAUUGAAGAGCUGAGCUCACGAAUCAGGCAUGUGACUUAUGCAUCGUCGUCUGUCCGUCCGUCUGUCUGUCACGGGCGGGCGGUGAUUUAUGGCCGGACAGCGGCCUGCAGAGGUGUUUCGACGGGAUGCGGCGCCCGACAUCUGGAAAGCGGAUCUGUGCUUGGGUCACUGUCGAUGGUGACGGCCGGUGGGACGCCGUGUCUUUCUCUGAGAAACAGACACGUGUGAAACUCAUAUUUUAAGUAGCUCGGUAUUAAUGGCCCCACUUAAAGCGCCAGGUGAGCUAACAAGAACCUCAAAUGAGCCUCUUCCAUGUGUCCCUAAUUUCUCCCAGAUGGACGAGAAACUUCCAGUUCUGCUGGCGUCCUUGGGAGGAAACGAGAGCUUGAUCUGAAAAAUGAAAAGGCCUCAAUGGGACGGAGCAUCGAUUCCAAACACAAGUCCUUGCAGUCAAGGAUAAUUGGGUAAAGGAGGAGAGCAUCAGCGGGGAGCGUCUGAACAAGGGGAAUUACCUUUGGGAGGCCGGCAGACGUCUCCUGAGCCGCUCCGUGUGUGUUCCUCCCAUCCCUGCAGAGCUGUCUCAUUAACACAGGCUGGGUUUAUCAUCUCUGUCCUGCAGAAGCCGGCUGAAUGGAAGCUGGAAAUGCAGACCCCCAGCGCAUCGCCAGCGCACAUGCAGACUCCGGAACAGGAUGACCGUGAAGCUGAGGCCAUUUUAUAGGCCAAGAAGUGAAACGAAGAUUUGCUGACGACACGUGGAGUUCGACUAAUGAGGUUUUUGACUUCCCUGUGAAGCGUGACAUGCUGGUGCCACAGCUUUACUCCAGUAAAGCCUGUUUUACAGCCACUAAAAAGACCUAAUUCUACCAGCAGCUAAUCGCAGGUUCAGAGGGGAGGGGGUCAGACCUACGGCCAAGAAAGGUCGGGCCAACCAGCUGUCACCUCCCCGACCACGGCUGAGACCAUCCAUCUGGCUGGGAGAGGCCCACCGAAGCAGCCGGGGCCGGAAUGUGCACACGCAAGCGUUUGUGUUUAAUGCGACAUAAGAAUAAACAUUUUUGGGCGUGCUUUACACACACAGUCGCAUGCGUGAACCUGUUCGAUGCCACAUACUUCCGUGAGGCGCUGUCUGCAUUAUCAUUGCUCUGCAGACAGAUCAGUG